UACGAGGGAUGCAAGCGUUAUCCGGAUUUAUUGGGCGUAAAGAGUUUGUAGGUGGCUUAAUGUGUUUAACGUUAAAUAUUAGAGCUUAACUUUGAAGUUGCGUUAAAAACUAUUAAACUUGAGUAUGGUAGAGGUAAAGGGAAUUUCCAGUGUAGCGGUGAAAUGCAUAGAUAUUGGAAAGAACACCAAAGGCGAAAGCACUUUGCUAGGCUAAUACUGACACUGAGAAACGAAAGCUAAGGUAGCAAAACGG
This 253-nucleotide ribosomal RNA is filed under the name uncultured bacterium. RNAcentral's name for it is "partial 16S ribosomal RNA". It matches the Rfam family "Bacterial small subunit ribosomal RNA", at positions 524 to 776 of the family's 1533-position model. The record is from RNAcentral.